ACGCUCGACACCUACGGAGGCAGCAGUGGGGAAUAUUGGGCAAUGGGCGCAAGCCUGACCCAGCAACGCCGCGUGAAGGAAGAAGGCUUUCGGGUUGUAAACUUCUUUUAUUAAGGACGAAACAAAUGACGGUACUUAAUGAAUAAGCUCCGGCUAACUACGUGCCAGCAGCCGCGGUAAUCUGAGCGGGCUGGCAAGGC
Molecule: ribosomal RNA, 200 nt
Filed under: uncultured bacterium
Lineage: Bacteria
Description: partial 16S ribosomal RNA
Rfam family: Bacterial small subunit ribosomal RNA
Source: RNAcentral